GUGCUCACUUCAGCAGUACAUAUACUAAAAUUGGAAUGAUACAGAGAAGAUUAGCACGGCCCCUGCAUAAGGAUCAUGAUGCAGUCCAUAUUUUU
This 95-nucleotide small nuclear RNA is filed under the name Jaculus jaculus (lesser Egyptian jerboa). Lineage: Eukaryota; Metazoa; Chordata; Mammalia; Rodentia; Dipodidae. The record is from RNAcentral.